Molecule: ribosomal RNA, 487 nt
Filed under: uncultured bacterium
Lineage: Bacteria
Description: partial 16S ribosomal RNA
Rfam family: Bacterial small subunit ribosomal RNA
Source: RNAcentral
AUUGAACGCUGGCGGCAUGCCUUACACAUGCAAGUCGAACGGCAGCACGGGUGCUUGCACCUGGUGGCGAGUGGCGAACGGGUGAGUAAUACAUCGGAACAUGUCCUGUAGUGGGGGAUAGCCCGGCGAAAGCCGGAUUAAUACCGCAUACGAUCUACGGAUGAAAGCGGGGGACCUUCGGGCCUCGCGCUAUAGGGUUGGCCGAUGGCUGAUUAGCUAGUUGGUGGGGUAAAGGCCUACCAAGGCGACGAUCAGUAGCUGGUCUGAGAGGACGACCAGCCACACUGGGAAUGAGACACGGCCCAGACUCCUACGGGAGGCAGCAGUGGGGAAUUUUGGACAAUGGGCGAAAGCCUGAUCCAGCAAUGCCGCGUGUGUGAAGAAGGCCUUCGGGUUGUAAAGCACUUUUGUCCGGAAAGAAAUCCUUGGCCCUAAUACGGUCGGGGGAUGACGGUACCGGAAGAAUAAGCACCGGCUAACUACGUGC